CCUACGGUGGGCAGCAGUGGGGGAUAUUGCACAAUGGGGGGAACCCUGAUGCAGCGACGCCGCGUGGGUGAAGGAGUGCUUCGGCAUGUAAAGCCCUAUCGACAGGGAAGAAGCAAGACGGUACCUGACUAAGAAGCACCGGCUAACUACGUGCCAGCAGCCGCGGUAAUACGUAGGGGGCGAGCGUUAUCCGGAUUUACUGGGUGUAAAGGGAGCUUAGACGGCUAAUCAAGUCAGAAGUGAAAACCCAGGGCUCAACUUUGGGACUGCUUUUGAAACUGAGUAGCUAGAGUGCAGGAGAGGUAAGCGGAAUUCCUAGUGUAGCGGUGAAAUGCGUAGAUAUUAGGAGGAACACCAGUGGCGAAGGCGGCUUACUGGACUGUAACUGACGUUGAGGCUCGAAAGCGUGGGGAGCAAACAGGAUUAGAUACCCUUGUAGUC
RNAcentral lists this ribosomal RNA (441 nucleotides) under uncultured bacterium. RNAcentral describes it as "partial 16S ribosomal RNA". It matches the Rfam family "Bacterial small subunit ribosomal RNA", at positions 338 to 795 of the family's 1533-position model. The record is from RNAcentral.